ACGUACGCUGGCGGCGUGCUUAACCCAUGCAAGUCGAACGGAAAGGCCCUGCUUUUGUGGGGUGCUCGAGUGGCGAACGGGUGAGUAACACGUGAGUAACCUGCCCUUGACUUUGGGAUAACUUCAGGAAACUGGGGCUAAUACCGGAUAGGAGCUCCUGCUGCAUGGUGGGGGUUGGAAAGUUUCGGCGGUUGGGGAUGGACUCGCGGCUUAUCAGCUUGUUGGUGGGGUAGUGGCUUACCAAGGCUUUGACGGGUAGCCGGCCUGAGAGGGUGACCGGCCACAUUGGGACUGAGAUACGGCCCAGACUCCUACGGGAGGCAGCAGUGGGGAAUAUUGCACAAUGGGCGGAAGCCUGAUGCAGCAACGCCGCGUGCGGGAUGACGGCCUUCGGGUUGUAAACCGCUUUCGCCUGUGACGAAGCGUGAGUGACGGUAAUGGGUAAAGAAGCACCGGCUAACUACGUG
Molecule: ribosomal RNA, 467 nt
Filed under: uncultured bacterium
Lineage: Bacteria
Description: partial 16S ribosomal RNA
Rfam family: Bacterial small subunit ribosomal RNA
Source: RNAcentral